RNAcentral lists this ribosomal RNA (771 nucleotides) under uncultured bacterium. RNAcentral describes it as "bacterial SSU rRNA". It matches the Rfam family "Bacterial small subunit ribosomal RNA", at positions 8 to 796 of the family's 1533-position model. The record is from RNAcentral.
AGAGUUUGAUCAUGGCUCAGGACGAACGCUGGCGGCGUGCUUAACACAUGCAAGUCGAACGGAAAGGCCCUUCGGGGUACUCGAGUGGCGAACGGGUGAGUAACACGUGGGUGAUCUGCCCUGCACUUUGGGAUAAGCCUGGGAAACUGGGUCUAAUACCGAAUAGGACCACGCGCUUCAUGGUGUGUGGUGGAAAGCUUUUGCGGUGUGGGAUGGGCCCGCGGCCUAUCAGCUUGUUGGUGGGGUAAUGGCCUACCAAGGCGACGACGGGUAGCCGGCCUGAGAGGGUGACCGGCCACACUGGGACUGAGAUACGGCCCAGACUCCUACGGGAGGCAGCAGUGGGGAAUAUUGCACAAUGGGCGCAAGCCUGAUGCAGCGACGCCGCGUGAGGGAUGACGGCCUUCGGGUUGUAAACCUCUUUCAAUAGGGACGAAGCGUGAGUGACGGUACCUAUAGAAGAAGCACCGGCCAACUACGUGCCAGCAGCCGCGGUAAUACGUAGGGUGCGAGCGUUGUCCGGAAUUACUGGGCGUAAAGAGCUCGUAGGUGGUUUGUCGCGUUGUUCGUGAAAACUCACAGCUUAACUGUGGGCGUGCGGGCGAUACGGGCAGACUAGAGUACUGCAGGGGAGACUGGAAUUCCUGGUGUAGCGGUGGAAUGCGCAGAUAUCAGGAGGAACACCGGUGGCGAAGGCGGGUCUCUGGGCAGUAACUAACGCUGAGGAGCGAAAGCGUGGGGAGCGAACAGGAUUAGAUACCCUGGUAGUCC